GGGUCUCCUAUGUGCCUGAGCCCAUGU
Molecule: non-coding RNA, 27 nt
Filed under: Rattus norvegicus (Norway rat)
Lineage: Eukaryota; Metazoa; Chordata; Mammalia; Rodentia; Muridae
Source: RNAcentral